GACGAACGCUGGCGGCGUGCUUAACACAUGCAAGUCGAACGGUAAGGCCCUUCGGGGUACACGAGUGGCGAACGGGUGAGUAACACGUGGGUGAUCUGCCCUGCACUUCGGGAUAAGCCUGGGAAACUGGGUCUAAUACCGGAUAGGACUCCUGGCUUCAUGGUUGGGGGUGGAAAGCUUUUGCGGUGUGGGAUGGGCCGGCGGCCUAUCAGCUUGUUGGUGGGGUAAUGGCCUACCAAGGCGACGACGGGUAGCCGGCCUGAGAGGGUGACCGGUCACACUGGGACUGAGAUACGGCCCAGACGCCUACGGGAGGCAGCAGUGGGGAAUAUUGCACAAUGGGCGCAAGCCUGAUGCAGCGACGCCGCGUGAGGGAUGACGGCCUUCGGGUUGUAAACCUCUUUCAGCUAUGACGAAGCGCAAGUGACGGUAGUAGCAGAAGAAGGACCGGCCAACUACGUGCCAGCAGCCGCCGUAA
This 478-nucleotide ribosomal RNA is filed under the name uncultured bacterium. RNAcentral describes it as "partial 16S ribosomal RNA". It matches the Rfam family "Bacterial small subunit ribosomal RNA", at positions 28 to 523 of the family's 1533-position model. The record is from RNAcentral.